GUACACUCCUGCGGGAGGCAGCAGUGGGGAAUAUUGGACAAUGGGCGCAAGCCUGAUCCAGCCAUGCCGCGUGAGUGAUGAAGGCCCUAGGGUUGUAAAGCUCUUUCACCGGUGAAGAUAAUGACGGUAACCGGAGAAGAAGCCCCGGCUAACUUCGUGCCAGCAGCCGCGGUAAUACGAAGGGGGCUAGCGUUGUUCGGAUUUACUGGGCGUAAAGCGCACGUAGGCGGACUAUUAAGUCAGGGGUGAAAUCCCGGGGCUCAACCCCGGAACUGCCUUUGAUACUGGUAGUCUUGAGUUCGAGAGAGGUGAGUGGAAUUCCGAGUGUAGAGGUGAAAUUCGUAGAUAUUCGGAGGAACACCAGUGGCGAAUGCGGCUCACUGGCUCGAUACUGACGCUGAGGUGCGAAAGCGUGGGGAGCAAACAGGAUUAGAAACCCGAGUAGUCCCAUGA
RNAcentral lists this ribosomal RNA (453 nucleotides) under uncultured organism. RNAcentral's name for it is "partial 16S ribosomal RNA". It matches the Rfam family "Bacterial small subunit ribosomal RNA", at positions 331 to 800 of the family's 1533-position model. The record is from RNAcentral.